RNAcentral lists this ribosomal RNA (1472 nucleotides) under Bacillus siamensis. RNAcentral's name for it is "bacterial SSU rRNA". It matches the Rfam family "Bacterial small subunit ribosomal RNA". The record is from RNAcentral. Lineage: Bacteria; Bacillati; Bacillota; Bacilli; Caryophanales; Bacillaceae.
GACGAACGCUGGCGGCGUGCCUAAUACAUGCAAGUCGAGCGGACAGAUGGGAGCUUGCUCCCUGAUGUUAGCGGCGGACGGGUGAGUAACACGUGGGUAACCUGCCUGUAAGACUGGGAUAACUCCGGGAAACCGGGGCUAAUACCGGAUGGUUGUUUGAACCGCAUGGUUCAGACACAAAAGGUGGCUUCGGCUACCACUUACAGAUGGACCCGCGGCGCAUUAGCUAGUUGGUGAGGUAACGGCUCACCAAGGCGACGAUGCGUAGCCGACCUGAGAGGGUGAUCGGCCACACUGGGACUGGGACACGGCCCAGACUCCUACGGGAGGCAGCAGUAGGGAAUCUUCCGCAAUGGACGAAAGUCUGACGGAGCAACGCCGCGUGAGUGAUGAAGGUUUUCGGAUCGUAAAGCUCUGUUGUUAGGGAAGAACAAGUGCCGUUCAAAUAGGGCGGCACCUUGACGGUACCUAACCAGAAAGCCACGGCUAACUACGUGCCAGCAGCCGCGGUAAUACGUAGGUGGCAAGCGUUGUCCGGAAUUAUUGGGCGUAAAGGGCUCGCAGGCGGUUUCUUAAGUCUGAUGUGAAAGCCCCCGGCUCAACCGGGGAGGGUCAUUGGAAACUGGGGAACUUGAGUGCAGAAGAGGAGAGUGGAAUUCCACGUGUAGCGGUGAAAUGCGUAGAGAUGUGGAGGAACACCAGUGGCGAAGGCGACUCUCUGGUCUGUAACUGACGCUGAGGAGCGAAAGCGUGGGGAGCGAACAGGAUUAGAUACCCUGGUAGUCCACGCCGUAAACGAUGAGUGCUAAGUGUUAGGGGGUUUCCGCCCCUUAGUGCUGCAGCUAACGCAUUAAGCACUCCGCCUGGGGAGUACGGUCGCAAGACUGAAACUCAAAGGAAUUGACGGGGGCCCGCACAAGCGGUGGAGCAUGUGGUUUAAUUCGAAGCAACGCGAAGAACCUUACCAGGUCUUGACAUCCUCUGACAAUCCUAGAGAUAGGACGUCCCCUUCGGGGGCAGAGUGACAGGUGGUGCAUGGUUGUCGUCAGCUCGUGUCGUGAGAUGUUGGGUUAAGUCCCGCAACGAGCGCAACCCUUGAUCUUAGUUGCCAGCAUUCAGUUGGGCACUCUAAGGUGACUGCCGGUGACAAACCGGAGGAAGGUGGGGAUGACGUCAAAUCAUCAUGCCCCUUAUGACCUGGGCUACACACGUGCUACAAUGGACAGAACAAAGGGCAGCGAAACCGCGAGGUUAAGCCAAUCCCACAAAUCUGUUCUCAGUUCGGAUCGCAGUCUGCAACUCGACUGCGUGAAGCUGGAAUCGCUAGUAAUCGCGGAUCAGCAUGCCGCGGUGAAUACGUUCCCGGGCCUUGUACACACCGCCCGUCACACCACGAGAGUUUGUAACACCCGAAGUCGGUGAGGUAACCUUUAUGGAGCCAGCCGCCGAAGGUGGGACAGAUGAUUGGGGUG